UACGAAGGGGGCUAGCGUUGCUCGGAAUGACUGGGCGUAAAGGGCGCGUAGGCGGUUCGUCCAGUUGGAUGUGAAAUUCCCGGGCUCAACCUGGGGGCUGCAUUCAAUACGUGCGGGCUUGAGUUCGGAAGAGGGUCGUGGAAUUCCCAGUGUAGAGGUGAAAUUCGUAGAUAUCGGGAGGAACACCCAUGGCGAAGGCAGCAAGCUGGGCGACACCUGACGCUGAGGCGCGAAAGCGUGGGUAGCAAACAGG
This 253-nucleotide ribosomal RNA is filed under the name uncultured bacterium. RNAcentral describes it as "partial 16S ribosomal RNA". It matches the Rfam family "Bacterial small subunit ribosomal RNA", at positions 524 to 776 of the family's 1533-position model. The record is from RNAcentral.